Long non-coding RNA from Suricata suricatta (meerkat), 1947 nucleotides. RefSeq lists it as uncharacterized. NCBI's taxonomy places the organism in Eukaryota, Metazoa, Chordata, Mammalia, Carnivora, Herpestidae. The record is from RefSeq and is a predicted model, not a curated record. The transcript is spliced from 3 exons.
GGAAAGAAACGGCCGCCGCCGCGGGAGCUGGCUCUGGUGGCCGGAGGCGGGUCCUUCUCUUCCCGCAGUUCCCGCAAACGCUCCGCUCCCUAGAGCCGCUGCCUUCAGUGCGCUCAGACCCUGGAUGUGAAGGUUCACGCCGGCGCCAGCCGACGCCGGGAGAAGUAGCGGCGCCCCCACUCAUCAUCUUCCCAAGGCAGCGCCUGGUGGCCACCGAGACCGAAGCGCAGUUGGAGUGCGAGAGGGAGCCUGAGACGCCCGGACCUAAGCCGGCAGCGCGGGACCCGCCGGAGCCCGAGGGGCUUCCGGCCCAAAGGGAGACGCACUUGAGUGAUCGCGAGGAGCAAACUUAGCGCUCUCAGCCUCGGGCCUCGGAGAGGUGAGAGAUUCCUACUGCGCCCUUCUCCCUUCCAAGGCCGAGAUCCCGCCACACAUCCUCUUGCCGCGCCACGGGACUCCAGACGCGGGAGUGUGAGCGGUAAGACCCGGGAGCGCGUCGCCGGCGCGCCGCUCUCUCCCUGAAGCUUCUCUGCGGAACUCUGGCCGCAUUCCGGGAGCCCAGACCGAGCCAUCGCUCUGAGUCUGCCUGCACUCCGCCCUGUUCCGUCUCUCUGUUUGUCUUGGGCUCAGUGACUCUGUGCUUCUCGCCUUCAGUGACUCUCUGCCUCCGUUUCCAGUGGAAACCCUGCGUUUGUUUGGGGGCCUCUAGGGGUCCGAGAAUCCUUGGUCAAUUUUCCCCACCCCCAGUCGUACUGCAGGACUGCACUGCCCCCUUUCUGGCCGGACCCGGAUCCGUGGGCUCUAUGGACCAGCAGCACGCCCGCCACAGAGACCUUCCUCAGUGAACCCUGACCUCAGCCCUGGGCCAGCGUUGCCUCAUCUCUCAGGAUCCUGUGCACACAAGAGCACAUCAAUUCUUGGCAGCUGGUCCUGACUACCACACCCCCAUUCCAAGCCCCCUUGCAAUGGGGCAGCUGCCAAGAGCUGCCAAGAAGAAUGGAGGACGGGAGACCUGGGAGCACUUCCCAGGAGAGGUGGUAACUGCAGCAAAUUUUCCUCUUCCACACUAAAGCAACUGGGUUCCCCACAGGAGCAAGUGGCUUUCAGCUACCAGAAGCCACUCCCCGCCCAAAAUAGCAUCCAAAUGGAUCCUGGCUUCCUUCCCCUGGAUUUCCUGCUCAAAUCAGAUGUGCAAAACUUCCCCGACAAUUUACCUCAACUGAAACAAAGAAAUAAGCCAAGAAAAAAGAAGAGGUGGAAUCCAGAAAACAGAGAAUCCAGCACCGGAUAGAAAUGGAGGGAAUUCCAAGGAAUCCCAGGGAUAACACUGACAGGAAAUUUCAGGUCCACAUCUGUGCAGCAGGCAUGGAGAGCGAUCAGCCCAGACUGGAUCUGGAAGACAGAGAACUCGAGGAGAAAUGCUCCCAGGAAAAGAAAAAUACAACCAGCAAAAGCAAUGACAGAUUCCUGAUAAGUCUGACCUCGUAAAAAAGCAUACCCCAAUACUUCUGGAAGAUACAGGAAGAUUUAGCCAUAGGGACAAAGAAAGCAAGACAAAUGAAAAAAUAGGGCAUCAACUCCAGGAAAAAAGUUGCACACACACAAAAAAGAAUUGUAGUCUUGGUGCACUAGCAGCUUAUCCGAGAACAAUAUUUAUAUAGUAAUAAAAUAUAAAUGCUAAAAGCCGAUAGUUUGGACAGGGAUGGAAAGAAAUAACAAUUUUAGAGGUAAGCGAUUAUUAUAAUAGGAAGUUAAUCAUUACUGUUUCAAGAGAACAGAAAUGUGGAAGUAUAUUCCAAAAGAGACAAAUAGGAAUUCAGAGUAGAUGCUUCCAGGGAACAAAACAGCGAUCCUGAGAGUAGGCAAGGCACUCUCACAGGCCUUUGCUGUUUGACUUGUUAGAUUACAUGCCUGUUUCAAUUUAAUAAAUUAAGUGUCAAAAAUGUG